AAAUCUGAAAUUAACGAGGUGGAACCCAAAUCUGCGGCCGUAAGGUUUUCGCGAUUUCCUUUUCUUUUUUCCCUUCAAUUUUCCUUCUUGAAUCUUUUACGCCCUAAUUUUCAUCAAUAGGGCAAACAGAAGGGUCACUUUAUUUGUGAGUAGUUUUCUGCUUCCUUGCCGCGAGAGUUGAAUUUUCGAUCUGCUGAGCUGCGAUGAACACAGUUGGAUGAUCGAGGUUUUGGGUUAGCUUUGGCUUACUUUGGUUCCAUCUUUAUAUUCUCCUUUACAAAGGAAGGUGAUUUGGUAUGUCUGGAAGAAAUCGGAUCCAUCGUGACAGUUAUCAUGAUAGACGUGGGUUGCCACCAGACAGACCUUUUGUCAGAGGCGGGUUGUUAGAGCCACUGCCUCCACCCUCGUCUUUGUUAGAGGAUCUUGAGAUACAGCAUGCUGAAAUCAGAAGGCUUUUGAGUGAUAAUCAUACACUAGCUGAUGACCGAGUGGUUCUUGAGCGAAAGCUUGAUGCUGCUAAAGAUGAACUUCACCGGAUGAAUCUAGUUAUAUCUGAUGUUCGUGUUGAGCAAGAUUUACGGGUGAGGGAGUUCAUCGAGGAAAGGCAUAAACUUGAAGCAGAUGUUCGUGCCAUGGAGUCUUACAAGAAGGAGGCUACACAGUUGCACAGUGAAGUACAGAAACUAAAUGACUUAAAACUUGAUCUUACCAGGGAGGUUCAGGCACUUAGGAAAGAUCUAAUCAAACUGCAAGAGGAGAACAAGCAGAUUCCGGUUCUGAGAGCUGAUGUCAAGAGCCUGCAGCAGGAUCUUAUGCAUGCUAGAGCUGCAAUUGAGUAUGAGAAGAAGGAAAAGCUUGAGCUGAUGGAUCAGCGACUAACAAUGGAGAAGAACAUGGUUUCUAUGGCACGUGAAGUUGAGAAGCUACGAGCAGAACUUACCACCAUUUCUAGUAGGCCUUGGGGCUUUGGUGGAUCAUAUGGGAGGAAUUUCAAUGGUACCGAUGGGGCUCUACAUGGUCCGUAUGGAGAAAGCUUUGGGCCUAUGGGAUCAUCUGACAGGAGUUCAUAUUAUGGGCAUGGUUCUGGUUCACAGAAGAAGCCACGAUUUGAUCGUCAUUAAGAAUCAGUGAAUGAUCUGGGACAGAGGAAGUAUGCCCUAUCUAAGUAGGCUACACCCGAGGUGACCUGUGAAUGCGGAUGAGAAGACUCUAUCUUGCUAUUUAUGGGUGGAAGAGAUGGAAGGGAAAAGAAUCCAUUUAUCUGCGGAGAGGAACAAUGAAACAAGACCCGUCAUGGUCGUAAGGAUAGGAGGCAACAUCCUCGAGCGCUUCCCUUUCACUGGUGUCUUCGUGUCGGGAAAAACUCCAUCGGAAAUAUCUUC
RNA transcript from Tarenaya hassleriana, 1382 nucleotides. It is a transcript of the gene named protein FLX-like 3, with no coding region annotated. The transcript has 7 exons. NCBI's taxonomy places the organism in Eukaryota, Viridiplantae, Streptophyta, Magnoliopsida, Brassicales, Cleomaceae. The record is from RefSeq and is a predicted model, not a curated record.